AUGCCGGUGAUGGUUCGAGGCUAUGUCCCCGAGCAUGUCUGGCGAGUGCUUGCCGAGCUAAGCCAUUUCUUCCGCACGCUCUGUGCUAAAGAAGUAAGUAAAGACGUGAUUGAAAAAUUGCAUAAGAAGGCACCGGAGUUGAUAGUCAAGCUAGAGAAGAUCUUUCUGCCAGGCUUCUUUACACUGAUGACACAUCUCAUUCUGCACCUCGCAAACGAGGUAUUGUUGGGGGGGGGGGCUGUGCAGAAUCGCUGGCAGUACGGCCCUGAGAGACAGAACAAGCAUCUCCGACAGAAAUGUGGAAACAAAGCUAAGAUUGAAGCUUCCAUAGCUGAGGCAGUUAUCCUAGAGGAGGUGUCAGACCUCAGGACAUCAUACUAUCCAGACCAUGUUCCCCAUCUGCAUAACAAGGUGCCUCGAUACAAUAUAGAAGAGCCGAAGUAUCAACCCAGGCUCCAUCUAUUCAACGCGCAAGGUGGGAGGGCUGGGGCCUCGAAACCUUAUAACAUGCCACGACAAGAGUGGGAGGACCUCAUGUUCUAUAUCUUGCACAACAUCAGGGAAGUUGAGGAAGUGUGGAUAAGAGGAAUGGACGGGAAUGAAUCCUCCUACUGA
This 615-nucleotide ribosomal RNA is filed under the name Triticum aestivum (bread wheat). Its description in RNAcentral is "partial small subunit ribosomal RNA". Lineage: Eukaryota; Viridiplantae; Streptophyta; Magnoliopsida; Poales; Poaceae. The record is from RNAcentral.